UGGGGAAUAUUGGACAAUGGGCGAAAGCCUGAUCCAGCCAUGCCGCGUGUGUGAAGAAGGUCUUCGGAUUGUAAAGCACUUUAAGUUGGGAGGAAGGGCAUUAACCUAAUACGUUAGUGUUUUGACGUUACCGACAGAAUAAGCACCGGCUAACUCUGUGCCAGCAGCCGCGGGAAUACAGAGGGUGCAAGUGUUAAUCGGCAUUCCUGGGCGUAAAGCGCGCGUAGGUGGUUUGUUAAGUUGGAUGUGAAAUCCCCGGGCUCAACCUGGGAACUGCAUUCAAAACUGACUGACUAGAGUAUGGUAGAGGGUGGUGGAAUUUCCUGUGUAGCGGUGAAAUGCGUAGAUAUAGGAAGGAACACCAGUGGCGAAGGCGACCACCUGGACUAAUACUGACACUGAGGUGCGAAAGCGUGGGGAGCAAACA
Molecule: ribosomal RNA, 427 nt
Filed under: uncultured bacterium
Lineage: Bacteria
Description: partial 16S ribosomal RNA
Rfam family: Bacterial small subunit ribosomal RNA
Source: RNAcentral